AUUGAACGCUAGCGGCAUGCUUAACACAUGCAAGUCGAACGGCAGCGCGGGGAGCUUGCUCCCUGGCGGCGAGUGGCGGACGGGUGAGUAACGCGUAGGAAUCUACCUUGUAGUGGGGGACAACCCGGGGAAACUCGGGCUAAUACCGCAUAAUCCCUUCGGGGCAAAGCGGGGGACCUUCGGGCCUCGUGCUAUAAGAUGAGCCUGCGUUGGAUUAGCUUGUUGGUGGGGUAAUGGCCUACCAAGGCGACGAUCCAUAGCUGGUCUGAGAGGACGACCAGCCACACUGGGACUGAGACACGGCCCAGACUCCUACGGGAGGCAGCAGUGGGGAAUAUUGGACAAUGGGCGCAAGCCUGAUCCAGCAAUGCCGCGUGUGUGAAGAAGGCCUUCGGGUUGUAAAGCACUUUCAGUGGGGAAGAAGGCCCAAAGUUAAUAACUUUGGGAGUUGACGUUACCACAGAAGAAGCACUGGCUAACUCUGUGCCAGCAGCCGCGGUAAU
This 503-nucleotide ribosomal RNA is filed under the name uncultured bacterium. RNAcentral describes it as "bacterial SSU rRNA". It matches the Rfam family "Bacterial small subunit ribosomal RNA", at positions 30 to 524 of the family's 1533-position model. The record is from RNAcentral.